This 754-nucleotide long non-coding RNA is filed under the name Ananas comosus (pineapple). RNAcentral describes it as "long non-coding RNA (ACOM_LNC034145)". The record is from RNAcentral. Lineage: Eukaryota; Viridiplantae; Streptophyta; Magnoliopsida; Poales; Bromeliaceae.
AAAUAAAUAUUUAAACUUUAUCAUAUUUUGUAAAUGUAGAGCCCAUCGUACUCAUAAAUCAUUAUCGAUAAUGAAUCUUCUGAAUCGACGAUUUAUACUGUUAAAUAUGAUCUAAAAUAUUUGAAACAUGUAAAAUUCAAAAUUUAUAAUUUUUCAAAUUUAUAAUAAAAUCAAUCAAAUGGAUCUAUAAUAAACAGUCAAAAUAGCACCUAGAGUCGGACUACUAUACACUUAUGAGAAUAGAGACCAUCAAAUUCGUAAGUUGUUUUUUAUGAUGAAUCUUCCGAAUCGACGAUUCAUACCGUUAAAUGUGAUUUAGAGUAUCUAAAAUAUCCAAAAAUUAGAUUUUGUAAUUUUUCGAAUUUAUAAUAAGUCCAUUAAGUGGAUCUAAAAUAAAUGCUCAAAAUCGAACUAUCUCACAAAAAUAGGGGAUAGAAUUUUUAAAUGCAAGAUCGGAGUUAUUAAUCUUGAUCUAUGUAGUCUGUUAAAAAUUUAACGAAUUUUAAUUUUUCUACAGCGUUAACUUGAAAACACUUUAUACCGGUAGUUAAAACUGUCAAUUUUGAAACCCUUUGAUUAUAAAGUAUACGAUAUCAAAAACUUAUGAAAUUUAAUUUCUAUAAUAUGUUUUUAAAUAUUGUAAUUAUGUUUAAUGAUAUAAAUCGUCGAUUUGAAAGUUCUAUCAUCGAAAAAGAUUUAUGAGUAUGAAGGAGAUCGCACUCACAAUAAUACAAUAGCUGACUCAUAUUUGUGU